AAUGAACGCUGGCGGGCGUGCUAACACAUGCAAGUCGAACGGACUGGUUGCCUUGACUAGCAAUAGAAGAGGUGGCCGGUUAGUGGCGAACGGGUGAGUAACACGUGGGUGACCUGCCCCAAAGUGGGGGAUAACUACCCGAAAGGGUGGCUAAUACCGCAUGCGGUCUGUCAUUCGGUUGGCAGACUAAAGGCCCGUAAGGGUCGCUUUGGGAGGGGCUCGCGGCCGAUUAGGUAGUUGGUGGGGUAAUGGCCUACCAAGCCAAUGAUCGGUAGGGGGCGUGAGAGCGUGAUCCCCCACACUGGCACUGAAACACGGGCCAGACUCCUACGGGAGGCAGCAGUGAGGAAUAUUGCGCAAUGGGCGAAAGCCUGACGCAGCAACGCCGCGUGGGCGAUGAAGACCUUCGGGUUGUAAAGCCCUUUUCUGGGGGAAGAGGAAGGACGGUACCCCAGGAAUAAGUCUCGGCUAACUACGUGCCAGCAGCCGCGGUAAGACGUAGGAGGCGAGCGUUAUUCGGAUUUACUGGGCGUAAAGCGCGUGCAGGCGGCUUCGUGAGUCAGGCGUGAAAUCUCCCGGCUUAACUGGGAGGCUGCGUCUGAUACUGCGGAGCUAGAGGUCGGGAGAGGGAAGCGGAAUUCCCGGUGUAACGGUGGAAUGUGUAGAUAUCGGGAGGAACACCAGUGGCGAAGGCGGCUUCCUGGCCCGCACCUGACGCUUAGACGCGAAAGCGUGGGGAGCGAACGGGAUUAGAUACCCCGGUAGUCCACGCUGUAAACGAUGGAUACUAGGUGUCGGUGGUAUUGACCCCAUCGGUGCCGUAGCUAACGCGUUAAGUAUCCCGCCUGGGGACUACGGUCGCAAGGCUAAAACUCAA
RNAcentral lists this ribosomal RNA (877 nucleotides) under Chloroflexi bacterium enrichment culture. RNAcentral describes it as "bacterial SSU rRNA". It matches the Rfam family "Bacterial small subunit ribosomal RNA", at positions 28 to 904 of the family's 1533-position model. The record is from RNAcentral. Lineage: Bacteria; Bacillati; Chloroflexota.